AACACCGGCUGAGAGAGUUUUCUCAGGUGGAGAGCACAAUCGUGCUGAUAACGUGUUAGAAAUAUGAGAGAAGUGUUGCUGUGGAAGUUGUGUCUUUCUCAUUAGCUCACACUAUCAAUAUAUAGUGGAGGUUCCAACGGUUUCCAACAAGGAGAGGAUCUACACAUUUAAUACAUAUUGACCACAAAGAUAGACUUGGUCAAAGCUCAUAAAUGCUCCGGUUGAAUGAGUCUUCAUCUUGUCUAGUCUCGGACGGAAUGUAGACGGACCGGAGACGGAUGUAGACGGGCCGGAUAGUCUGGUCGGAUGUAAACCUCCUUGAUGGUUAAUGGCAAUCCACAUAUCCAUUCAAUGGAUUUAUAACACCAAGGAUGUUUUCAUUAAUCAAGAACGAAAGUUGGGGGCUCGAAGACGAUCAGAUACCGUCCUAGUCUCAACCAUAAACGAUGCCGACCAGGGAUCAGCGGAUGUUGCUUUUAGGACUCCGCUGGCACCUUAUGAGAAAUCAAAGUUUUUGGGUUCCGGGGGGAGUAUGGUCGCAAGGCUGAAACUUAAAGGAAUUGACGGGAUCAUCCUCUGAGUUUAAGCAUAUCAAUA
This 597-nucleotide non-coding RNA is filed under the name Brassica napus (rape). Its description in RNAcentral is "rRNA SSU_rRNA_eukarya". It matches the Rfam family "Eukaryotic small subunit ribosomal RNA", at positions 638 to 1485 of the family's 1831-position model. The record is from Rfam by way of RNAcentral. Lineage: Eukaryota; Viridiplantae; Streptophyta; Magnoliopsida; Brassicales; Brassicaceae.